UGGGGAAUAUUGGACAAUGGGCGAAAGCCUGAUCCAGCCAUGCCGCGUGUGUGAAGAAGGUCUUCGGAUUGUAAAGCACUUUAAGUUGGGAGGAAGGGCAGUAAGCGAAUAUCUUGCUGUUUUGACGUUACCGACAGAAUAAGCACCGGCUAACUCUGUGCCAGCAGCCGCGGUAAUACAGAGGGUGCAAGCGAUAAUCGUAAUUACUGGGCGUAAAGCGCGCGUAGGUGGUUCGUUAAGUUGAAUGUGAAAGCCCCGGGCUCAACCUGGGAACUGCAUCCAAAACUGGCGAGCUAGAGUAGGGCAGAGGGUGGUCGAAUUUCCUGUGUAGCGGUGAAAUGCGUAGAUAUAAGAAGGAACACCAGUGGCGAAGGCGACCACCUGGGCUCAUACUGACACUGAGGUGCGAAAGCGUGGGGAGCAAACAGG
RNAcentral lists this ribosomal RNA (429 nucleotides) under Pseudomonadota bacterium. Its description in RNAcentral is "Proteobacteria bacterium partial 16S ribosomal RNA". It matches the Rfam family "Bacterial small subunit ribosomal RNA", at positions 355 to 776 of the family's 1533-position model. The record is from RNAcentral. Lineage: Bacteria; Pseudomonadati; Pseudomonadota.